AUAACGUCAUUCAUUGAGGGGAACGUGGACAAUGAGAAUCAAUACAAAAUUAGUACUAUACACAAUUUAUUGUACCAAGUAAAAUGAAAUGUUUUAUUGUUGCUUAUUAUAAUUAUAAUUAACCCUCAAUUAUUUAAUAAAUUUUGUUCCCUUUAUUUUCGACAUAAUAACAAAACUGAUGGCUUCGUUUUUCAUUAUGUUACCGUGACGAACCAAACAGGUAUCUAACGAAUGUCUAACACAAAGCACGGGCGAAUCUUUUUUCAUUGAUGUCUUGACUAAAUAUUUGUUGAUAAUUUUUGAAAUAUUUGUAGCAUAUUAAACAUGUGAUUCCUUUUGGAUAUUUUUUAAUUAUAUUUUUUUUACUUUUAUUUUUCGUUUUUUAGCAAGUGUAUUAAAACCAAUUGACUUCUUGUUUGACAGAAUGUGGGUGGGAUUACUUACUAGUUAUAUUUAUUUGCACAUGUUUAAAAUAGAACAAAGGGUUCGAAAUAUUUUUCCUCGAAAGAUUUCUUCACUCUUGUCUCUUUUUCGUUCACACGGAAUUAUGUAAAUUAUGUUAAAUUAUCUUUUUUUUUCUUUACAUGUGUCAUAAUAAUAUAUAGUGUAGAUCUAUAUAAAAAAUUGCAGACAUUCUCAGGGGGUGUUUGUAUUUUGUAAAAAGCACUUCAGAAUCGCUUAUGUCUGCUCCACGCAGACCAUGCGUAGACGUUUGAGUUUGCAACUUGUUUGUUUUUUGGAAGUGAUUUCAUUAAAGAAACAUCUUCCAAACCUCUUCCUCAAACAAACAUGGCCUCACAUCUUAACACCUAUUCUAAACUCUGCUCUUUCAAAACACAUCUCAAAACCCUAGUAUCCUCUUCUCCACAGGACGCCUCCAUCGAUUCUCCACAACCGAACCUCCAUCGAUUCUUCACAGAACGAGAUCAGCAGUGUCGAUUGAUAUAAAGAAGGUUUUUAUCAACCUCAACAAAGAAGAAUUAGAAUUUCUAGUUAUUUGGGUGUUUUCAGCUAAGCAGAGUCCCUGUGUUCAUCACAAUCAAUAGGUAUGUUUAAUCUUCUUUAUUACCUAAUUUUAUGAACUAUAUGUCUUCACAUGUCGACUAGUAAAUUCAUAUGUCGACUAGUGUUUGUUUGAAACUUGUAUGUGGUUAAAAUUUAAUGUUUGUUUGAAACUUGUAUGUGGUUAAAACUUGAUGUAAAUUCAUAUGUCGACUAGUGUUUGUUUGAAACUUGUAUGUGGUUAAGACUUGAUGUUUGUUUGAAACUUGUAUAUGGUUAAAACUUGAUGUAAAUUCAUAUGUCGAUUAGUGUUUGUUUGAAACUUGUAUGUGGUUAAAAUUUGUUGUUUGUUUGAAACUUGUAUGUGGUUAAAACUUGAUGUAAAUUCAUAUGUCGACUAGUGUUUGUUUGAAACUUGUAUGUGGUUAAAACUUGAUGUUUGUUUGAAACUUGUAUGUGGUUAAAACUUGAUGUUUGUUUGAAACUUGUUUGUUGAUUAGUAGAAAUGGGAGAGAAACAACAAUGGUCAAAUGAACAUCUAAAAUGCUUAUUAGAGACUUGCAUUGAAGAGAUAAACACGGUGAGUAGAAAAUGAUUGAGUUUGCGUAAAGACUCGUGGAAUAAUUUAGGAAAAGUUCUUAAGGAAAAGUUUGGAUUGGAUUUGACUAAAAAAUAAAUGAAGAAUGCAUAUGAUAAUCUUAAAGCCAAAUAUGUAGGUUGGGUGUAUUUGAAAAACAAAACCGGUAACAUAUACAACGCUCAAACAAAUAAUUUUACUUUAACGAAUGAGGAAUGGGAAGAAUUUAAGAAGGCUGCAUCACUGAAAACAGUUCCAUUGCCUUUUCAAGAACUUUGUGCAGAAUUGUUUGAUGGGAAUACUGUCACUGGAAAUUGCAAGUGGACCUCAACCCAAACAACAUCCGGGGUUGGAUCUUCUUGUCAUCGUGUCCAAUCACUUAUGAUUAUGGACACCCAUUAUCAUGACACACAAGAUGAUGCCGGCACUUCUGAGCCUACUUUUGAGCCUACUUCCGAGCCUAAUCCAAACAAAAGGGCUAAAACCUCAAAACCAUCUACUAACCAUGAUGAUUUAGCACGUGAUAUGCAGAAGGCUCUACAGUUUUUUAUUAAAGGCAGGAAGGGCCAAUAGUUCGUGAGUGUUCUGAUAAGUUAAACUUGGUUGGGUUAGACCCAGUAGAUCCUAUAUUCUUAGCUGCUUUUCAUAUUUUUGGAGUGUCCUCCGACAUGAGAGAGACGUGGAUGGCAUUGCCAGAAAUUCCCAAGGUCUUAAGAGGGUGGAUUAUUAUAAGAAAUUACGCUUUUGGUUGUUUAUAAUUGUUAAAACAUGAUCACAAUGGAUUAUAAUAAGAAAUUACUUCUCGUUAUUCUUAUGUACUUGUAUGUCCGAAUUUUUUGGAAGAGAAGUUUAAAACGCAUGCGAGACAAUGAUUCGGGUAUGGCGGGACAUAAAUACACGUUGGAGUUAUUGACAGGAAAUCCAAAACAAUGCAUUGAACUUCUACGUAUGUCUCGUGAAUCAUUUGUCCGACUAUGUGCACAUUUUAGAGUAAAUUAUUCGUUAGAGGAUAGUAAACAUGUAUCGGUUGAGGAGAAGAUGGCUAUGUUUUUUAUGAUAAUCGGUCAUAAUCAAUGAUAUGUAGUUAUCAAGCGUAGAUUUCAACACUCAAAGCAAACAAUUCAUAAAUAUUUUUAUGAAGUCUUGGAUAAAAUGAUGCUUUUUGCCAAAGAAAUGAUAGUACCAACUUCUUUCAAUCCUAAUCCAAACAUACCGGGACAUAACAAGAGGCUACGACGGGUUUUUAUAGG
RNA transcript from Helianthus annuus (common sunflower), 2829 nucleotides. RefSeq lists it as uncharacterized. The transcript has 3 exons. The record is from RefSeq and is a predicted model, not a curated record. Lineage: Eukaryota; Viridiplantae; Streptophyta; Magnoliopsida; Asterales; Asteraceae.